UAAACUAGGAUUAGAUACCCUAUUAUUUUAAAUGUAAAUUUUAUAUACUGAAUUAGUAUUAGUUAUGUUCUUGAAAAUUAAAAAAUUUGGCGGUAUUUUAGUCUUUUCAGAGGAACCUGUCCUGUAAUCGAUAGUCCACGAUAUAGGGUACUUUAUUUAUUAGUUUACAUAUCGUCGUAGAUAGAAUAUUUUAAAAGAAUAUUAAUAUUCUAGAUUUUUAAUUAAAAAAUAAAUCAGAUCAAGGUGUAGUUUAUAAUAAAGGAGAGAUGGGUUACAUUAAAUUUAUUUAAGGAUAAUUUUUAGGAUAAAAAUUUGAAUUUGGAUUUGAAAGUAAUUUUAUUUAAUUAAGUAAAAUGAUUUUAGCUCUAAAAUAUGCACACAUCGCCCGUCGCUCUUAA
This 398-nucleotide ribosomal RNA is filed under the name Spermophagus decellei. RNAcentral describes it as "partial 12S ribosomal RNA". Lineage: Eukaryota; Metazoa; Arthropoda; Insecta; Coleoptera; Chrysomelidae. The record is from RNAcentral.